UACGAAGGGGGCUAGCGUUGCUCGGAAUCACUGGGCGUAAAGGGUGCGUAGGCGGGUCUUUAAGUCAGGGGUGAAAUCCUGGAGCUCAACUCCAGAACUGCCUUUGAUACUGAAGAUCUUGAGUUCGGGAGAGGUGAGUGGAACUGCGAGUGUAGAGGUGAAAUUCGUAGAUAUUCGCAAGAACACCAGUGGCGAAGGCGCCACUCUGGGCCGGUACUGACGCUGAGGAGCGAAAGCGUGGGUAGCAAACAGG
RNAcentral lists this ribosomal RNA (253 nucleotides) under uncultured bacterium. RNAcentral's name for it is "partial 16S ribosomal RNA". It matches the Rfam family "Bacterial small subunit ribosomal RNA", at positions 524 to 776 of the family's 1533-position model. The record is from RNAcentral.